GGCCUCGUAGCUCAGCUGGUAGAGCAUGCGGUACAAAGCGUAGGCGGUGUCCAUGCGUGGGUUCGAAUCCCACCGAGGCUA
This is a non-coding RNA of Echinostoma caproni, 81 nucleotides long. The record is from Rfam. NCBI's taxonomy places the organism in Eukaryota, Metazoa, Platyhelminthes, Trematoda, Plagiorchiida, Echinostomatidae.